GUACAACUCCAACUAGUAUGAUGC
This 24-nucleotide non-coding RNA is filed under the name Arabidopsis thaliana (thale cress). Lineage: Eukaryota; Viridiplantae; Streptophyta; Magnoliopsida; Brassicales; Brassicaceae. The record is from RNAcentral.